AAUCAAGAUAAAACUGAAAGCAACUUAUGUAUUUCCUACUUAUUUAAUACUUUUCUAUUUGUUUAGUCAUAGGAAAAAGGCAUAUGCAGCCAUUAGGCAUAUACAUACAUUACCGUGCACAUUACUUUGUGAACCUCUAUUAUUUACCAGCAGCCCAAUAUUAUUUCACAUUUGAAGCUGUCUGCCUGAGACAACGGAGAAUGGUAUAUCAGUAACUUAUGAGGUGCCUAUGUAAGAUAGAAACUUAGACUAGAUGAGUGAGUCUCAAAUGUUGGGAUACCACAGAAUCACCUGGGGAGCUUGUUAAAAAUACAGAUAUCUUGGCUCAAGAGUAUCUGUAUUUUGACCAAGCUCACCUAGGUGGCUGGUGUGUACCAAUAUUUGUAAAAUAUUGAGUUUGGUGACCUAUAAAAUCUUUUUAAACUCUAAGAUUAUAUGAGCCUACAAAACAGAUAUAUAUGUGUCUUCAAAGACCUCAUGAUAUCAAACUUAAUCAAUUAAAAGAAAACUUCUUUUGAAAGUCUCUUAUAAAGGAAACCAAUGUUUUAGCCAUUCUUCUUUGUUCCUAGUUGUCCCUCCAGUGAGUUUGUGUCACUCUUCACAGUCUGUAUUUCUCCUGCUUACAUGUGAUUCCCACAUGUUCUACAGAGUCUAAAGGCAUAUGAGGUAGCUGUAUAACAUUUCACAAGAUGAAUGUACCACAAAUUUUAAUCCUUCUAUUGUUGAUGGAUUUGGAUUAUUACCAACUUUUGGCCUUUGAGCCAGUCUAGGAUUCACGAUGUAACCAUGGAGCAGAUGCUUUGAGGUGAAUGACAUUUCCAGCAUUGAAGGACAGCAUAGACACGGAAAUACAUUUUAUGGCGUGCCAGUGGGUGUGGUGGGUCUCAGGGAUGCAAGGUGGGUGAGACUCCCUGUCUGUUCCUGAGGAGCUCUGGUGAGUGGGAAGGAGAAGGGAACACUCGAAGAGCAUGGCAGCCUUAAAGAGGCAGUGGGCUGAGGAGGCUCGCUCUGUGUUCAGAAAUUGGAACAGGGUUGUAGAAAGGAUGCUGUGUGGCUGUUAAAGUAAACUCCACCCAUUUUAGAAUUUUCCUUGGAAGCGGCCUCAAUGUCUAGAAAAGAGUGGGAAAAAUCUUUCCCCUUUUCAAAUUUGUUCUUUUUUGAGCCAUGCAACUUUAAUUCUAAGAAUAAAACAUUCAUGCUUCUAGUUGUAGUUUCCUUGGACAGCUAAACUGUGGAUAAAAUAGGAAUUUGGGUGCUAACCCCAAAAUCUAAAUGCUACUGAAGGGGCUGUUAUCUCUGCAUGAAUUCCUCAUAAAACCGAAAAGCUACCCAAUAGGUGCUGAAAACAGGUCAAAUACCAUAUUAGAUGUCACAUUGGGUAGCACACACACAUGGGAAAGCACAAAGACUGGCUUAGAGUGCCAAAGUAAGAAAUGGAUCACACUG
Molecule: long non-coding RNA, 1446 nt
Filed under: Homo sapiens (human)
Lineage: Eukaryota; Metazoa; Chordata; Mammalia; Primates; Hominidae
Description: HSALNT0321844
Source: RNAcentral